This 96-nucleotide small RNA is filed under the name Flavobacterium terrae. RNAcentral's name for it is "Flavo-1 RNA". It matches the Rfam family "Flavo-1 RNA". The record is from Rfam by way of RNAcentral. Lineage: Bacteria; Pseudomonadati; Bacteroidota; Flavobacteriia; Flavobacteriales; Flavobacteriaceae.
AUUUAACCCUGAUAGUAGCGACAUCCUUUUUAAUUGUACACUGAGCCAAGUCGAAGUGUCUCAAUUAAAAAGAUAUAGCGAAUAGCAGGAAUUGCG